UUAACUCAAUACUCUAAAAAACCUAAUCUCCUCCACACUUUAGAAGACAUCCGUUUCGCUGAUCUGGAACACCCAAAAAUUUAGACCUAGGACCCUUUCUUUUUUCCUAAGAGCUCUAACCUAGACAUAAUGGAGACAAGACGAAAACCCUAGAAAAACCAGCGCUGCCACCACUCACUUACCACCGCUACCGCCCACUUCAGCCACACAAUCUCUGAUAGACCACCCCCAGAACAGGUGCCACCCAAUCCCUACACGACCAACCAUCACCCAUAACACCAGCAAACUCCAGAAGUCCCUCACAGCCCCACCAAGCCGCCGGUCACCUCUCUUACCCGAAGAGAAGAAUAACAGCACAAACCUUACCCCCAUUUUGCUUAGAUCUGCCUCCAUCUCUCUCAUUUUUCUCUGGCAGAGAACCUCCUCCAUCCUCAACGAAAAGCGCCUAAGAAUCAACCAAACUCGUCGAAAUUUGGUUGGAGAUUUUGCGUUUGGUUGGAGUCACGUCCCUCACUAGACCUUACAGUUUUUUACCGCUCUGUGCUUUGCCACUGUCUUUACCGAAUUAUUUGGCGAGUUCGAAGACAUCAAAGGUCGUAAGCUGAGGUUCUUAGGCAGGUUCACGGUCCUAGUAUAGAUUUGAAGUCCUAUUUUGCAGAAUAUUGUUGCUCGCAAGGAGAUUUUUGAUCAAGUCAAUUUUAAUCACUAUUUUAGCUCCACCUGAGGUUAAUUCUUUACUCUGUUCUUGGCUUAGUCCAGAAUUUCCUCAUGUGCAUAACUCAUGCUUGUGUGCAUUUUCUGAUUCAAUUGUUACGCUAUGUCUGAUUUUAUUUUAUCUUUUGUUUGAAUUGAAUUUCUCAAGUAUAAACAUUGUUGAAUUCUUUUCUUGUGGGUAUGUGUUGAUGCGCAAAGAAAAGUAAUAAUUUAUAUGAACUAGUAAGUGAUAUCAAAUAUAAAGCUAAAAGAAUGGGAGUCUGGUUAGUGGGAUUUAAACGGAUUUGAGCUUUGGUCAUAAUCUACACAUGUGAAUUUGAUUUAAUAUCAAUUUCACUUUAUAUCAUCAUUUUUUCAUUGCUAGUACCAUCUUUAGGUCCGGUAGCAUUUAUGUAGGCAAGCCUUAGGAUUCUAUUAUUAACGAGGCAAAAUAUCGUUCCCCUAGAUAAAUUCAUCCCGGGAAUGUCCCGAAGGAUUUAUAUAUUUUUUAUUCCGUUAAAUACCCCGCGGUAUAUGUAUUUGGAGGCCAUGACGAAGCUGUGGUACCAUAUAGUUCAUAUUAGGCGGGGACGACCUCGAGACUCUACUUUUUUUAUUUUUCUUUUAUUAGGCGGGGACGACCUCGAGACUCUUUUGUGUUUUUUAUUGUUGUGAUUUUACCUCAAUUUGAAUAUUUUAAGCCAACUAGAUUGAGUACGCAACCGUGAUUUUUACGAAACUCGGGAAAUGCCUAACACCUUCUCCCUGAGUCAAAUGAACCCCCUUAUCCUUAAUCUCUCCCCUUAUCCUGAAUCUAUAGUGCAGACUUAGUUUUGGAGUCUAAAAUGUUUUAAAAGAAAAAAUUAUCGCUACAAUGGUGACAUGACACAUUGCAAUCAAAUGUCAGGUGGCGACUCUGAAAAAUUCAUUUGAACACAAAUUUUUUUCACUUUCUAAUUAGAAAACCCUUUAGAGAUUUACAAAUCUUUUUAUUAAUUUUAAAGGGGUUAGUGAGGUGGUACAAAAAGUGUGUGACAUCUCUGGAGAGUGGCUACUCUGCUUAGGACUUGCAGGUUUGAGCUGGUACUUGAUCUUGCUAGCUUUUAAGAUAUUCAGUUGAGGUGUUUGUUUUCUUUAUUUGUUUUGUUUGUCUUAUUUCCUAGUUUUGUUGGUUAUUUAUUUAUCGUUUUUCUUAAUGUGUUACUACUUUAUAAACUAUCAUAAUUUGCAUAACCAUGGAUCAUUUGCAACAAGUCUCGGAGUACGCAUCGCAUGCACGAACUCUUUGUUUAGUCACCCUUAAUUAAGGAGGGAGGGCCAUCGGAAGUAUGGAGUGGGUGGAAAGCUUGAGCAACCACCAAUGAACAUACGCUCCCCCAAAUAACCUUGUUAGAACCCUAAACUUAGGUCAGCCUUUAGGUCAUUCUUAUUUACAUCAUGUCAUCUGGACCUAGUAGGGCUCGACCCCAUGCACCGUAUCCCUUUGUAGAAUGCCUAUCCAAAUUUUGUCAAGAAUGGGCUCGUGGCCCAAAAAGACAUUCGGUCAUCCCUAUAUGAUACAUGUUACAUCUUUGAGGGUAAAAGGUCAUUUGGCGGACCGAUGUUUCGAUAAUAAGGGUAAAAAUGAAGCAAGUAAGGUCCAAUUAUAAUUUUCUUUCACAACCUUUUCAAGAAAAGACCAAAAAUAUUUAAAAAUAAAAAAUCCAAAAAGAUUUUACACUUUUUCACUAUUUUAAGAAAAUUAAAAAAAAAGAGAAAGAAAAAAUUUAAAAAGAUUUUACAUUUUUCAUUAUUAUUUAAAAAGACAAAAAAUAUUAUUUUUUUCCAAAUUAGUGUUAUUUUAAGCUUUCUCCCAUAUCCAACCCACAUAGGGUCCGGUCUUCCUAGUGAGUCUUAGGUUAUUGGCUUCGCGGGGUCUUAUCCAAAUCUUGCAUGUCUAGCCAUUUUUGGCCGCAUCGGCCAAUCUUGCAAAAUGGGGUCAUUUUUGCAAAAAUGGUUCAAUAACACAUGUCUUUGGAUCUUAAGUUCACAAGUAGGUGUCAUAUUAUUUUAAGUCCCAUCCUUAUUGAGUUUGCACCUUUAGUCACUUCUGGCCAUAUCGGUCGUUUUUGCAAAAUGGGUCAUUUAUGCAAAUCAAUUUUGGGCCAUGAUUAUCGGGGGUUGAAUUCAUAUAAGCCAGGUAUUUCCAUAUCUUUGAGGUCACCUUUGUUGAGUUUUCACUAAUAGUUAUCCUUGGCCACAUAGGUCAAUUUUUGCAAAAGUAGCUCAAUCAUUUCUUGCAUAUGUCCAAUAGAAGAUGUUGCGGCGUCACAUGUGUCUUGAGUCACUAACUCUAUUUUAUCUUAUUUUUUCCAUUCAUGUAUGGAUCAAUUUGCUAAAUUUUGAGCAUGACAAAUACCCCAGGACCACUCUAGUCAAGACCAUUGCAUGCACGAGUUGCUUGAGGAAACUUUUUAUUUUUUAGUUUAUCUUAUGUUAUCUUUUAAAUUAGUAUUGUACAGUAGUAUCGAGUUUGUCAGUCUAGUUAAUAUUGUCGAUUCUUUCGUCAUAGUACAUCCCAUUUUGUAUUUGAAAAAAAAUUAUAAAUGAAAAAUUUAAAAAGAUUUUUUUUUGGCAAUCCACUAGGCGAAGCCUAGGGCUAGUUUUUUUAUUAAUAGAAAAAAGUAAAUUAUAACAAUUAGGAUAAAUCCUAAUAAGGGAGACAAUAUCACCGGAGUUGAUACCCAUAUAACACAACCGGUCUAACCUUACCGUAUUCAUCCUAUUGAGGCUUCAAAAACUCUUAACAAUCACACCUGCAUAAAAAAAACACCAAGAACUACUAAUGUGAUGAUAAUACACCGAGAACUAUUAAUGUGAUGUGAACUAUUUUUUCAAUAUAUCUUUAAAAUUCAUGCUUGUUCCUCGAAUGAUUAGGCUUUGUAACAGAUGGUUGCAAGAGUUGUUUCUGCUUUGCGAUUCUCAUUGGGGGUCUCCGAAUGUUAGCAUCUUCACAAAUCCUGCUAUCUCCACUUGUAUCUCUUUGACGAUACUCCAAAAACUCUUAUUUAUUUUUUAGUUUAUUUGUCCAUUACUUUUUUCAGAACUAUGCUUGAUCUGACUCAUGAGGGACAUAAUAUGUAGGGAACCUACAUAAGGUUCUAUCGAAUCAUUUUUUUAAAAACUAAAAAAAUAAAAAAUGGAAAAAAGAAAAAAGAAAAAUAGAGAUGAAAUUGUGGAUGUGAGAAAUGAGAGGAAAGAAAAGAGUGAAAAUCAAAAAGAAAAAGAGAGGAAGGAAAAUGAGCAAGCCAAGAAGUGCUAGAAAAGAAAGAAAAGAGAUGGUUAAUAUGAACAAAAUUGGAAUAAUGCCAAAUGAACUUGUGAUCCUCGAAGUCACUCUAAAACCUUUAACUGUUGCUUGGGGCAUUGCACGCAAUGUGAUAUUUGUAUAUGAUACAUUAUGCUAAUAUAUUGGCUUUGUUUUGCUCUUCUUUGUUACUUUCACUAUAACAGAGGGUGGUUAGUUUGUGGAACUUUGGUGAUUUAUCCAUACAACAUAAGGUCAAAAAGAAAGGAAGCCAUGGCAAGCAAAGACUUGGAUACAUGAGUUGUCGACCCCUAGGGGGAGAUUGUAGAGUCGGAAUCUGAAUUGAAAGAGGGGGUCCAAAGGCUGAAACAACAAAUAUCUGAAUGAGUUAAGCAUGGGCCAAUGGUCAAAGACCACCCAUUCUUAUGUUUUUCCAGAGUUUACACCCAUCUCGACUACUACCACUCCGGUUUCAUUGUCUGAUCAAUUAUAUCCAGUUAGGUUCAGCAUUUAUCCUAAUUGUACGACUAUAAAUGGAACUUCUAUUGCACAUUUCCAAAGUGUGUCAUUGACAACCAAUCAAACAACUACUACAGUUGUUCCUAUCUUCACCAUCCCACAGCCGACGGUGGUGCAGAGGAAAACUCAUGAGUCAUAACUUUCUACCCAUCAAGAACAAUACCACUCUCUUGAGUACCAUUCUUACCUAUUUGAUCUUCCUGCAAAGAUUAAAAUGUUUGGCCCAAAGAUAGCAUCGAAAGAAAUAAACCAAAGACUGAAAAGCUUAGAACAAUAGUUGAAAAACAUACAAGGGCUGGCAGGUCAGAAAAGUAUUGCCUUCAAGGGUCUAUGUAUGUUCCCCGAUGUUCGUUUGCCACUUGGUUUCAAGACUCCCAAAUUUAAAAAGUAUGAUGUACAUGGAAACCCCGUAACCCACCUGAAAAGGUAUUGCAAUAAAUUAAGAUGUACGAGAGUAAAUGAAGAAUUACUGAUAGUUUAUUUUGGGGAAAGCCUUACGGGUAUAGCCUCCGAAUGGUUUCUGGGUCAAGACAUAUCUUGCUGGUAUGUAUGGGAUGACAUGGCCCAUGCCUUUGUUAAACAGUUCCAAUAUAACACUUGAAUCACCCUGGACCGUCAUUCCGUCUCAAAUCUAAAGAAGAAACCAACUGAAAGCUUCAGGGAAUAUGCCAUUAAAUGGAGAGAACAAGCAGCUAGAGUUAAGCCACCCAUGGAUGAACACAAGCUAAUCAUUGUCUUCCUUCAUGCUCAAGAGCCCGAUUAUUUUCAAAACAUGAUGUCCACACUUGAAAAAUCAUUCUCAGAAGAAAUCAAAAUGGGAGAAAUGGUAGAGAAUGACCUUAAGAAAGGCAAAAUUAUUAUUCAAGUAACUCUCAAAGCUGCAACUUGGGCUGUCCAAAUUGAAUCUGGUAAUCUUAGUGAAAUGAAUGAUAAAGUUGAAGAAAUCAUGAUAACAUCAGGGUCGAGAAGAGGUCCUAGAAGAACAUCUCGAAGGUAUGACUAGCCUCAUUUGUUUUUUGACGAUUCCCCUGAGAACCCACAACACUUUGUUGCUCCACUCUAGUAUUUUGUCCAGCCACCAAGACACCCAGAAGUCCAGCGCCGACACACAAUCUCCACCAGCCUCCACAAAAUUUUCAAGUUCCCCAUAACCCACAUCCAAGCUAGGGGUAUAAAGGUACCAACAAUGUUAAAAGCUUAUAUAGAUACUUAAAACAAUGUAUUAGGAAGCAUUUAGGCCGAAGAAAUAGGCGAAAAAAGUUCUGGAGAGAGCUGUGUGAAGCUACUGUUUUUGAACAAAAACUGGGACUGCCAGCCUUAAGCCUUCGCGUUCACGAGCUACUGCUAUGUUCGCGAUGUGAAAAAAAAAAUUUCCAGCUUUUGGGCUUCGCGUUCGCGACUGGCCCACGCGUUCGCGAAGGUUUACAUUAUUCUUCACUGUACAUUGGCCUUCGCGUUCGCGAAGGCUACUUCGUUGCCCAGAAAUUUUCUUCUUCUUUGAGGCAUUUUUUCAAACAUGUGAAGAGCACACAAUUAUUUUCCCAUUUACAGAACAUUGUUACACUAUUUUCACCCAAAAUAUUCUCCCAAAUCAAGCACUCACUCUCAACCAAUCACACCCAUCAAGCAACAAACUAAUUUAAGCAAAUAUUUCGCCAAUUAAUGCUCAAAUCUUAAGACCUAAUGAACAACUGUGGAAGCUCUUCCAUUUUUCAAAAUUCAAAGUAAGAAAAGAGAAGAAAAAUUAAGAGGAGAGUGUAGACAUUACAUACCUUGAGAGUGGAGGUGAAGAAUUUGCAAAAAAACUUGAAGAUUUUAUUCUUUGACAUUUGUUUGGGCUUAAGGGAAUAGAGGGAGGCAAUGUUGAACCAAAAAUGGGGGUGUUUGAGGUCUCCUGGGUUAUUUUACGAAUUAAAACUGUCAGUCCUUACUCGACCCUUUGCAUUUGCGAGGGCCCUACGCGUAUGCGAAGGGUGAAAAUGUCCAGAAGCAUCGCGAACGCGCCACCACUACGCGAACGCGUAGCUUAAAGUUCUCAAUUUCUUGCGAAGUCGAGUUAAUGUUGCGAACGCGUAGCUUAAACUCUUUCUGCACUGGAAUAGUUCUGGCAACUACUGGUUUUGUCCCUCCGGACCAUCCCGACUUACUCAAAUCCACUCCAAAACUUCUGAAACUUGGCAGAUUAGUGCAAAAUAAUAUUCUAAGAUAUUUCAAAAAAUAAAAUUUCAAAAACGACUAAAAUAUUUGAAAAACGAUGGGUUGCCUCCCACCAAGCGCCGCAUUUAACGUCGUGGCACGACGCAAACNNNNNNNNNNNNNNNNNNNNNNNNNNNNNNNNNNNNNNNNNNNNNNNNNNNNNNNNNNNNNNNNNNNNNNNNNNNNNNUACGCAAACAACAUUACCACUUUUCUCGCCACUUGGAUGAUAUGAACUGGGCACCUAGCUUGUAAUCAAGCUUGUUACCACGAGCGAUUGGGGGUGGUAAGUUUAUGAUUGAGCCAAUGCUUGAAUUUUUAAUUUUGCACUUCUUGGCUCGAAUGUGAGGAAUGCCAUUUUGUUUUCUUGCUUCCUCAAAUUGUAAGAUAUAUGGCUUGAGUUUUUCCUCACCGCACUCCUUCAUUGAUUCAUGAAGUUUAACUUCCGUGUCACCACACAAUUCCAACAUUGAAAAAUGCUUGGAAUGUGACUGCAAACCUCCAACUUGCAAUUUUCCUUGGAUUUUGACAUCCUCUUUUUCCCUGAGAUUAGAGUCAAUUUCCAAAGAUGUUUCAUUUUCACCGGAUGACUUUAAUUCCAUUUUUUUCUUGGCAUCGUUAAAAUUCAUGGGGUCGAUUGGCGGAUGUUCCAUUCUUGACUCUUCAAUUCUUAGCUCACCUUCUUCCUUAUUUUCAAGAAUGGUCUUCAAUAUGAGCAUCAUUUUCUCAUUUUGAGCAUUUGAGAGCUCUUCUUGAUUUUGAUCAAGUGCCAAANNNNNNNNNNNNNNNNNNNNNNNNNNNNNNNNNNNNNNNNNNNNNNNNNNNNNNNNNNNNNNNNNNNNCAAAGAAUUUUGGAGACUAUUUUUCAAAAGCUCCUCCAAGGCACUGUGUUCUUUGCUUCCUUCUUCAAGUAAGCACUCCAAUAUGAGCUUGAAUUCUCCAUUUCGGUCAUGCUCAACUUUUUCUAUUUCAAUAGCCCUAUCAUUUUCAUCAAAACAAUAGAAUCAUCAUAGAGGGGGCUUGGGGAAAAGAAGGAUCAAUAUACAAAAUGACUCAAUGACCAUUUUGACAACCACAUCUAUUACAACUACUCCACUCAUGGGUUUGAGAUUGUGCGCACAAUCCACCCGGGAGAAUUUAAACAAUUUUGCCACGAGUGUGGUCCUCCACAAUAAGGACAAGGGUCAUCUAAGUAUGAAAAAUUACCAUCCAACUAAUUUUUAUUAUAAGAUGCCAUUUUUUACAAAACAAAAAAAAUAUGUAAACAACAAAAAAACAAACAAAAUAAUCACAAAAAUAUUCACAAGUUUGUACUAAAGCAUUUUUGCUUACUUCUCAAACAACCUAAUGUACACAACAUUGUCCCCGGCAACGACGCCAAAAUUGAUGUCGUCCAAACACAAUGCUUAAAAGCAAUAGAUAUGGUCGAUCGCAAUGUAAUUUACCCAACUAAGAGUCGGGGUCGAAUCCACAGGGACAAUGUGAAGGCGACAAGGGAUGUAGGAGAAUUAUCGCUUAUGGUGCAAAACCAAACGGGUUAAUGAAAUGUGUUUGGAUUUAUAUUGAUUUAACUGCGGAAAUAUAAACUAUUCUAGAAAGCAAGUAAAAUGGUCAAUGGCUACAAGGAUGGUUGCAUCGGAAUUACAUAUCAAGUAACGAUCCAAUGUAUUUUAUAUCCCUUCCAAUAAUAGUCACAAAGGUAUGCCUAGUUGCUUCUAUCAAUCGUGAACUUUCUACUUAUCAUAAGUGAUCCAAUGUAUUUAAUAACCAUUCCAAUAAUGGUCACAAAGGUAUGCUUAGUUCUUCUAUCAAUCGUGAACUCUCUACUUAUCAUAAAUCUCUCUCGAUAAUUAUAAUAAAUUACUAGACGCACUCCAUCGAGCUACGUUAGCUAGUUUCGCAUAACGGUUCACUUAGAUUGCACCCGAGGUAUCACUAUCUCUAAUCCAACCUCUAAACCCUCAGUUAUGACUCUCGUUUAUACUCCGGGAGUGAUGUUGUUCAACAACUACCUAAAUAUGUAUUCUCUCUCGAGUAGAUACACUCUAAAUAGGCAUGUUAAUUGAAAUCUCUUUCAAUUAACUAACAAUAAUUAUGUAGUUGAACAAAUAAAUAUUCAAUAAGUAAAACCUAUGUUAGCAAUACAAGAACUUCAAUUAAUACAUAAGCACAGCAAGGUAUUAAAUCCACACUUUAAUUUUGAAUAUUUUCAUAAACAAGAUUAAAUUUGGAAAUAAAUACUACACACUUAGAUUUAAAAUACAAAGCAAGGAAAUGAAGAAAUAAACAUAAUUGGGUAAGAAAAUCUUAACCACAAGCAUCAAUCUUCAAGACCCAAGUGUGUUUGUGCAAGAACCCUAGCUUUCUCCUUGUUAUCUCUAGUCUCUAUGGACUGAAAAUAAGCCAAAGAUUCAUACAAAAUGAAUUGAUUUGGGUAUAAAAGUAUUUAGGGUCAAAUUGUGAAAUUCCAUAACUACCCUUGCUUCCAAGGCAAAUAAGCCUUCGCGUUCGCGAUGGCCCUACCCGUUCGCGAUGAAUUAUUGACUUCUGAACUUUGCGUUCGCGGUAUGACCACGCGUUCGCGAAGUGUUGACUCUGCUCCUUGACUUUCUGACCAUCGCCUUCGCGUUUUACCUACGCGUUCGCGAAGGACACUAUUCUUCUUCAACGCAUUCGCAUUGCUUAUACGCAUUUGCGAAGCUUAUCUGGGCCUGACUCAUCACGUUCGCGAUAUCACUUCGCGUUCUGAAGAGAAAUUAACUGGGUAGCUUCAUUUUGCCCAUUUUAAUUGCGUUUUGGCUUAUUUUCACUUGGUUCCUUCCCCAUCACCUGUAAAAUAGAAGUAAACGACAUUAAAACGUGCGAAUUUUAUCACUCAACACAUCAAUAGUAUAGGAUUAAAGGCAAGAUAAGUGGAUAUUUUACCCACUUAUCAGUAACUGAGCUGUGGCAACGCUGGUUUUUCUAGGGUUUUAGUCUUGUCUCUAUUAUGUCUAUGUUAGAGCUCUAAGGAAGAAGAAAGGGUCCUAGGCCUAGGUUUUUGGGUUCUUCAGAUCAGGAAAACGACUGUCCUCUCAAGUGUGGAGGAGGUUAGGAUUUUUUUGGGUAUCAGGUUAAUAGGCUAAGGGAAAAAUUCGAAAAUGGGCCUAAAAUUGGACUUAGCAAGACACAAAACUGGUCCAAAAUUCAUUCAUCUUUUUUGAGGGUAAAAUAAAAGUAUCAUAGAUAACAAAAAUAUAAUUAAUAAUUGACUUUAACUGGAAUGGAAUUUAUAUAAGAUUAUUUUUUCCAAAGACUAUACUAAAAAUUGGAUAAUUAGAUUAAAAUCAUCACAAAAUUAAAAUAAUAUUACUACCGAAACACUAACAUCCUUGAAAACAAAGUUAAACUAUUUUUUGUAUUUUUAAAUUUUAUGAAAGAUAGAUAAACCAAAAGUAACAAGAUACAAUAUCAAUUAUCUAAAUAAAAGAAAAUAUUUUUGUAAUUUUUAUUUUUGUGAUAAAAUAAAGUAAUAUAGUUAAAACUAGGUGAAAUAGCGAUACUAGGCCUAAACUGAAUAUGUAAAAGCUAAUAUGAGUAAAAAUACGGGGAGGGUAAAAAAUCACAUGUCUACCGCUGCCCCUUUUUGACCUGAAAUAUGAAGUAUUUUCAGACAAAGAAUGACAAAACAGGUUUUUUGACACGACCCUUAUUUAGGGAGACCAAAAACUAAGAGGAAGGAGAAUAUGACCGAGCCCUGGUAUCUGAGCUUCCUACAUAUCCUUGGCUAUAAAGGAAUCAGUUCAUGUAUAAUUCAAAAGUGAAUAAGGUUAUGGAGUAUACUAAGGUGGAGAGCCGGUAAGGGUGUCGUUCCGUCAAGGUUCCGAUCCGCGCUCUUAUUAUUACAUCAAAAUCAAAAAUGAAAAAGACUAACUAAGCCUGUCAACUAUGAAUUACAUGAUUCAUAUCUAUAAAUCUUCUGACUCUUGAACUUGAGUCUUGAAUGGUUCUUCAUGCAGACUUUAGAUUUGAACCUUGAUGCUUGCUAGUUAUAGGUGCUAGUUCAUUCUUCUUCAUCUUUUCAUAUCAAAAUCGGAUACACCAUGCAUGUGAGAUUAGUCAAGUCUUAAGCAAUCCGCCUCUUGUAUUAGCUUCUGCAUUUUGGAUUCACUUCCUUUUUUUUUCUUCCUUCUCUUUUUGUAUUGAGAUUACUUCUGUUGAUCAUCUCGCAUUGUAGACUCACAUUCUUGCCUCGAGCUUCUGCUACUUCUAACUUGAAUUGGAUUUUGAAAUGACUUCACUUGUUCUCCAGGUGGGCGCUUACUGCUGACUUGAAAUUUGAAAUGACUUCCUUCGUUCUCCAGGUGAGCUCAUGUGACUAACUUGAAAUUUUAAAUGAAUUUUCUCAUUCUCCAGGUGGGUGCCUAUGACAUACUUAAAAUUUGAAAUGGAUUCCCUCGUUCUCUAGGUGGGCGCCUGCGAUUAAAGCAACAAAACAAACAAAAUUUUCUGCCCCAUUUUGCACUAGGAAGAUUUGUGAGUUGUUAGCAAAACUAUGAACCACUUAUGCUAUUGAUGUAAUGAUGAGAGUAAAACUAAAGACUUGACUGGGAUGUGCGUUUCCUAUGAAUUAAAUCAAUAAUAAUUUACUAGCAAGUGAGUCUGCUAAGAAAAAACCUCAAUGACCCAGACUAGGAAGUGAGUUUCCUAUAUUUAGGAUUAAGCUUGAGGAAAGCUAUAUACUAAGCUUGACUAAAGUAAAAACUGACCCUAUUCUCCAAGAGGGACCUCUGAUUUCAAGAAAACUAAAGAUUAAUAAGAAAAAUAAAGAUUGAUCCUAGGAUAAAGUUCAUCGGACUAGGAUUUUCUAUCCUAGGAGAAAAAUUUAUUAGACUAAUAUUUCGAUCCUAGGAGAAACUUCAUCAGACCAAGUCUCUUAUCGUAGGAGAAAGAUUUAUCAGACUAAGAUUUUGAUCCUAGGUUUCUUAUCUUAGUAGAAAGGUUCAUCAGACUAAGAUUUUAUCCUAGGAGAAAAUUUAUCAGAGUAGGUUUUCUUAUCUUAGGAGAAAGAUUCAUCAGACUAAGAUUUUGAUCAUAGGAGAAAAUUCAUCAGACUAGGUUUCUUAUCUUAGAAGAAAGAUUCAUGCCUUCGUCAUACCAAAUUCAAGAAAAAUAAGAGGAUAAAAAUAAGGGACAAGGGAAAGAGAUGACACCUAACAAGAAAAUUACAAAGUCGAAACUUAUCAAAUGUGGAUACCAAUUCUAAUGACCAUGACAUGCACCUUUGGAUUAAGUUGCUCAAUCUCUCAAGCAAUUCUAAUGUUCAACUCUUGUUGUACCUCUUUGUUGUGAAACUGGGUUUCAUCGCUUCAAUUAUCCCAUCUGAUCCACAAUCCUCAGUCGACUUGUAGUGCCCUGUAGGGUUUUCACCAUCAAACCUCUCUUAUUUUUCUCUUUUCUCAACUCACCGUCGCCUUACGGUGCCUCUGAGGGUUUUUACCGAUAAGACUCUCAUUUUAUUAUUUUCUCUCUUUGUGCUGAGAACAAAGUACUAUCCAUGAUUUAGGAAGAUCAUACUUUCACCACAAACUUGAUUCGGCAUCCUCAAAGAUUGGUCGAAAGGUCUUUCUUUGGAGCGUAAUGUAGGCUUUUGGACAUGGUUAGAAAGAAAAGGUGGCAUGAAGGCUCAAAAUAAUUUAAUAUGAAAGGGUUCAAAUUACAACUUUUGGAAUCAGAUCUUUUGUUAAAAUUAAAACUUCUGCCCCAGUUUCUGGAGUCUACGGAUUUUUUUUUUUGUAUGGACUUUCCCUUUGAUGAAAAUUUCUAAGAAAGAAUGCCCCAUUGUUGACUUUGUGGGAUUAUGAAAUAUUUUAUUUGGUGUGACCGAAUCGUAAGGCUGCCUACGUAUCUUGUGGUGACAAGAAUCAGGUCGAACAUAGUUCAAAUACAAAGUUGGGUUUUUUUCCUUUUCUCUUUUCUUUUUACCUUUUUAGUUCCCAACUCUACUUCUGUUUCCAAAAGAGGGGCAUGGAACAAAGCAAAUUAAGGCUCAAAAAGGGGUAGGAAAAGAUAAAAGUGUUUGGGUAACAGAAUAAAAUGUCUUCGUCAUACCAAACUUUAAAAUUGCCAAGUACAAAGAUGUAAUUGAAGAUAAGCAAAGAAAUCAUAUAUGUUAUCUAUUGACGACAUCAACACAAACAAAAAGUGCCAAUGGGCAAUAUCUUUGUCCCAAUGAAUGAACCUUGCCAGUUCGAAGCAAAUUUGACUCAACCUUAUGUUGAUGUGGAAGAAUGCAUUUGAGCACUAACUGAUUUACCUCAAACUGCUUAAGAGACAUUUCCUUGUUGUAUGCUCUUAUCAACCUCCUGAUUUUCCAGACUUACUGCCUCAGUUUCACUCAAUUCAAGCUUUAAGUCAUCUCAGAAUACGUGAACCUCUACUUGUUUCCUCAAAUGACUCUUUUAUAAUGUUCAAAACUAUGUCGUUGCUUUACGAUUAGACUAACUUUCAAGACCAGACCGAGAAUUAUACGUGCAUGUCAUGUCACUAGAGUCAGGAUGAAAAGAACUAUAAAAGAAAAAGUGACCUAAACAAAAACUUAACAGGAAACAAGAGAUUGCAUUAGGAAGAUGGUGAAAAGAAUUUGAUCAAAACAAGUAAAAUAGACAUGCGUUACAACCCUGGAACAAUCCUAUAUAACACUAGAAGAGUUACUACCCCUAAACGAACUAGGAAAAUAAGAGGCAGAAAGGUUUGAGCCAACAAGACAAUUUCCGGAUUACAACCCUAAAAUAACCUAGACAAACAGAAAUGACAACAAAAUAAACUACCAAAACUCCUCCCCGUCUAGCCAGAAAAGGAAUGUCUUUCCAAUUACCAAGCUCGACAUCUUAGCCAUUGGGUUGCAUAUCAAAAUUACUGGGACCUUUACCAAUUUAAAUAUCAUUAACUUCAGUCAGCAAGUUCCCAAGGGGAUUAUUAUACUCCCUAUCACCAUGCAUCCUCCCCACAAAGUGUGUAUCAUCAUGUACAUGUUAAGGAUUUUGCACGAUGUUUUGGGUGUGACUGUCCUGGAUCACAAUUAUCUCUUCUUGAAUCUUUCUUUCUAUAUCUCUUUUCAAAUCCCGACAACUUUCGACAUUGUGCCCCUGGGCAUUGGAAUGGUAUUCAAACCUUUUAUAAUGGUCAAAACUUCUUGCACGUGGGUCCACAUGAUUAUGAGGAAUAGGUGCAAUUAGGUCAUAAUGCUUUAAUUUCUCAAACAAGCUUGCAUAGGACUCUCCCAUCGGUGUAAAAUUAUUUUUCAACCUCUGUUUUGUAGGUGAUUUGAACUUAAAAUAAAGCCAGAUCAACAAGAAAUAAUUGCCCAUGACU
RNAcentral lists this long non-coding RNA (14045 nucleotides) under Nicotiana benthamiana. RNAcentral's name for it is "long non-coding RNA (NBEN_LNC011540)". The record is from RNAcentral. Lineage: Eukaryota; Viridiplantae; Streptophyta; Magnoliopsida; Solanales; Solanaceae.